RNAcentral lists this ribosomal RNA (253 nucleotides) under uncultured bacterium. RNAcentral describes it as "partial 16S ribosomal RNA". It matches the Rfam family "Bacterial small subunit ribosomal RNA", at positions 524 to 776 of the family's 1533-position model. The record is from RNAcentral.
UACGGAGGGCGCGAGCGUUGUCCGGAAUCACUGGGCGUAAAGGGCCAGUAGGCGGCCAACUAAGUCGGAUGUGAAAUCCCCAGGCUUAACCUGGGAACUGCAUCCGAUACUGGAUGGCUUGAAUUCGGGAGAGGGAUGCAGAAUUCCAGGUGUAGCGGUGAAAUGCGUAGAUAUCUGGAGGAAUACCGGUGGCGAAGGCGGCAUCCUGGACCGACAUUGACGCUGAACGGCGAAAGCUAGGGGAGCAAACAGG